Molecule: ribosomal RNA, 935 nt
Filed under: Fuscoporia sp.
Lineage: Eukaryota; Fungi; Basidiomycota; Agaricomycetes; Hymenochaetales; Hymenochaetaceae
Description: partial large subunit ribosomal RNA
Rfam family: Eukaryotic large subunit ribosomal RNA
Source: RNAcentral
AAUAAGCGGAGGAAAAGAAACUAACAAGGAUUCCCCUAGUAACUGCGAGUGAAGCGGGAAAAGCUCAAAUUUAAAAUCUGGUGGUUUUGCCAUCCGAGUUGUAAUCUGGAGAWGCGUUUUCUGUGCUGGACCGUGUACAAGUCUCUUGGAACAGAGCGUCAUAGAGGGUGAGAAUCCCGUCCAUGACACGGACGCCCAGUGCUAUGUGAUACGUUUUCAAAGAGUCGAGUUGUUUGGGAAUGCAGCUCAAAAUGGGUGGUAAGCUCCAUCUAAAGCUAAAUAUUGGCGAGAGACCGAUAGCGAACAAGUACCGUGAGGGAAAGAUGAAAAGCACUUUGGAAAGAGAGUUAAACAGUACGUGAAAUUGUUGAAAGGGAAACGCUUGAAGUUAGUCGCGUCUUACUUGACUCAGCCUUGCCUCGGCUUGGUGUAUUUCAUGUGAGACGGGUCAACAUCGAUUUCGACCGGCAGACAAGGGGAGUAAGAAUGUGGCACUCUUCGGAGUGUGUUAUAGCUUAUUCUCAUAUGUGUCGGUUGGGAUCGAGGACCGCAGCGCGCCCUUGUGGCCGGAGGUUCGCCUCACGUUACGCGCUUAGGAUGUUGGCAUAAUGGCUUUAAGCGACCCGUCUUGAAACACGGACCAAGGAGUCUAACAUGCUCGCGAGUGUUAGGGUGGAAAACCCUUGCGCAGAAUGAAAGUAAAAGUUGGGAACCUCCGCAAGGGGGCGCACCGACGCCCGGCCCAGAAGUUUACGGACGGUGCUGCGGUAGAGCGCGUAUGUUGGGACCCGAAAGAUGGUGAACUAUGCCUGAAUAGGGCGAAGCCAGGGGAAACCCUGUGUGGAGGCUCGUAGCGAUUCUGACGUGCAAAUCGAUCGUCAAAUUUGGGUAUAGGGGCGAAAGACUAAUCGAACCAUCUAGUAGCUGGUUCCUGC